CGGGUGAGUAACACGUGGAUAACCUACCUAUAAGACUGGGAUAACUUCGGGAAACCGGAGCUAAUACCGGAUAAUAUUUUGAACCGCAUGGUUCAAAAGUGAAAGACGGUCUUGCUGUCACUUAUAGAUGGAUCCGCGAUGCAUUAGCUAGUUGGUAAGGUAACGGCUUACCAAGGCAACGAUGCAUAGCCGACCUGAGAGGGUGAUCGGCCACACUGGAACUGAGACACGGUCCAG
This 237-nucleotide ribosomal RNA is filed under the name uncultured Staphylococcus sp. RNAcentral's name for it is "partial 16S ribosomal RNA". It matches the Rfam family "Bacterial small subunit ribosomal RNA", at positions 103 to 334 of the family's 1533-position model. Lineage: Bacteria; Bacillati; Bacillota; Bacilli; Caryophanales; Staphylococcaceae. The record is from RNAcentral.